AUUGAACGCUGGCGGCAGGCCUAACACAUGCAAGUCGAGCGAGCGGCGGACGGGUGAGUAAUGUCUGGGAAACUGCCUGAUGGAGGGGGAUAACUACUGGAAACGGUAGCUAAUACCGCAUACCAUCAGAUGUGCCAGGAUGGGUUUAGCUAGUAGGUGGGGUAACGGCUCACCUAGGGGACGAUCCCUAGCUGGUCUGAGUGGAUGACCAGCCCAACUGGAACUGAGACCCGGUCCAGACUCCGACGGGAGGCAGCAGGGGGGAAUAGUGCACAAUGGGCGCAAGCCUGAUGCAGCCAUGCCGCGUGUGUGAAGAAGGCCUUCGGGUUGUAAAGCACUUUCAGCGGGGAGGCGUUACCCGCAGAAGAAGCACCGGCUAACUCCGUGCCAGCAGCCGCGGUAAUAC
This 406-nucleotide ribosomal RNA is filed under the name uncultured bacterium. RNAcentral describes it as "partial 16S ribosomal RNA". It matches the Rfam family "Bacterial small subunit ribosomal RNA", at positions 29 to 526 of the family's 1533-position model. The record is from RNAcentral.